ACGCUCGACACCUACGGGAGGAGCAGUGGGGAAUAUUGCACAAUGGGGGAAACCCUGAUGCAGCGAUGCCGCGUGAAGGAAGAAGUAUCUCGGUAUGUAAACUUCUAUCAGCAGGGAAGAAAAUGACGGUACCUGACUAAGAAGCCCCGGCUAACUACGUGCCAGCAGCCGCGGUAAUCUGAGCGGGCUGGCAAGGC
This 197-nucleotide ribosomal RNA is filed under the name uncultured bacterium. RNAcentral describes it as "partial 16S ribosomal RNA". It matches the Rfam family "Bacterial small subunit ribosomal RNA", at positions 328 to 539 of the family's 1533-position model. The record is from RNAcentral.